Molecule: long non-coding RNA, 281 nt
Filed under: Lathyrus oleraceus (garden pea)
Lineage: Eukaryota; Viridiplantae; Streptophyta; Magnoliopsida; Fabales; Fabaceae
Description: Pisum sativum (pea) long non-coding RNA (PSAT_LNC038182)
Source: RNAcentral
GUCAACUGUGCUUGAUUUUAUGGAUUUGAAGGUGGGAGAUGGUUUGAAAGGCUUCAUUCAUGUCCAUACAAGUCUCAUUUGACAUUUCAAAGAUCAAGAUUGGAGAAAAUAAAGUCAGACAAGAAGUUUCCUAAAAUAGCAGGUGACUUGUAAUUGGAAAUUGCCAAAAAUGGAAAGUUUUGCUCCUCAAAUUUACAUCAUCAUACAAGCUUCAAAUGAAUUUUUGUCCAACAUGAAAGUUGAAGAUCUUGUUCUCACCUUUCCAAAAAGUCCAAGAACAC